RNAcentral lists this transfer RNA (76 nucleotides) under Deltaproteobacteria bacterium GWA2_65_63. RNAcentral describes it as "tRNA-Val". It matches the Rfam family "tRNA". From Rfam's summary of the family: Transfer RNA (tRNA) molecules are approximately 80 nucleotides in length. Their secondary structure includes four short double-helical elements and three loops (D, anti-codon, and T loops). Further hydrogen bonds mediate the characteristic L-shaped molecular structure. tRNAs have two regions of fundamental functional importance: the anti-codon, which is responsible for specific mRNA codon recognition, and the 3' end, to which the tRNAs corresponding amino acid is attached (by aminoacyl-tRNA synthetases). tRNAs cope with the degeneracy of the genetic code in two manners: having more than one tRNA (with a specific anti-codon) for a particular amino acid; and 'wobble' base-pairing, i.e. permitting non-standard base-pairing at the 3rd anti-codon position. RNAcentral also lists the same sequence under 9 other names. The record is from RNAcentral. Lineage: Bacteria; Deltaproteobacteria.
GGGCGGAUAGCUCAGCUGGUAGAGCAUCGCCCUUACAAGGCGAGGGUCACAGGUUCAAGUCCUGUUCCGCCUACCA